Molecule: ribosomal RNA, 253 nt
Filed under: uncultured bacterium
Lineage: Bacteria
Description: partial 16S ribosomal RNA
Rfam family: Bacterial small subunit ribosomal RNA
Source: RNAcentral
GACGAACCUUGCUAACGUUAUUCGGAAUUACUGGGCUUAAAGGGUGCGUAGGCGGUGCGGAAAGUCGGGUGUGAAAUCCCUCAGCUCAACUGAGGAAUUGCGCCCGAAACUACCGUGCUAGAGGAAGAUAGAGGUGAGCGGAACUCAGGGUGGAGCGGUGAAAUGCGUUGAUAUCCUGAGGAACACCGGUGGCGAAAGCGGCUCACUGGGUCUUAUCUGACGCUGAGGCACGAAAGCUAGGGUAGCGAACGGG